RNAcentral lists this long non-coding RNA (1209 nucleotides) under Homo sapiens (human). Its description in RNAcentral is "MIR3976 host gene". The record is from RNAcentral. Lineage: Eukaryota; Metazoa; Chordata; Mammalia; Primates; Hominidae.
ACUGUCAUUAUUAUGUCACAUAAGAUUAUGACUUCUAUCUUGCUAGUAGACCCUCUCCAUUAACUCUCUCUCUUUCUGAUUGAGUGUAAGCUGCUAUAUGAAGGGAUCCACAAGACGAAUAAUUAAGGGGGACCUCUGAUCAACAGCCAGCAAGGAACUGAAUCCCUCAGACCCACAACUCACAAGAAACUGAAGCUGAAGCAGAUUCUUCCUCAGUCAAGCUUCAGGUGCCCAGCUGUAUUGGUAGAGGAGACCAACCACACCCUCCACAGCACAGCACCUGGAGAGGAACUGCUGCCAUGACCAUAGAGGACACCCUCUGGAUACAAUGCCAGACUUGAUGUGGGACUGACCAACCUAUGGACCCCAGGCACCACCACCCAGACCUGCUCAGCACCUGAAACAUUCACAGCCGUGGAGAGAGAACUGUUCACUGCUACCAUCCACACUUCUGGGCCCCUUCAGCAGCAGGGUGACAAGGAAGAGGGAAAUCGACUUGGAAAAGAGGGGACCUCUGACCCAAGAGUUCGGUCAAUGCAUAUGUUGGCAGCCAGCUGCACAUCGCACCAAAUAUGAACUUCAAAUAGAAGAAAGCCUCAUUUGGAAGAAAGCUCAUGCACAGACUGUAAAUAUUUCAGAGCAGAUUGUGUCUCUGUAGAUUAAGUAAGUUGUGAAAGUCUGAACCUCUGCCAAAAUUUUAAGACCUUGACCUUUACAUCUCUGAGUUUCUAUCUGUCAUUUUUCCUUUCUAUCUGUCAUUUUACCUUUCAUACUUAUAAAAUGGAAUUCAUAAUCUUCUCAGCCUACCAAGUGUUAGUGUUCUAGGGAUUCAGAUAAAAUAUGUAUGAAAUUACUUUGAAUUACCUAAAACAUGACAUUUAUUCAUUCAACAAGUAUUUGUUGAACAUAUACGUCCUUCCUGGUGCUGUGUCAGGUGCUGGUGAAUAUAGCUGUGGUCAUGGCAGACUUUACCUCUGCUUUCAUAACUGUAACAUGAAAGUGUUGCUACCACAGUCAUGUUAUUAGAACGACUACUUUAACAUCGACUACUAAUAUAAAAUUUGUAGAUGUUUAAAUGAAAUCAUUAUUUGUGUAACCAUUAAUAUCCUGUGUAAUGUUAUAAUAUUUGGGGCACCUUUGUAAUUGUUAAAUGAUUUAUUUCAUUCCCAGGUGAGUUUGUAGAAAAUAAUACAAUCACUCUCAAUUCCA